RNAcentral lists this long non-coding RNA (346 nucleotides) under Monodelphis domestica (gray short-tailed opossum). RNAcentral's name for it is "lncRNA (ENSMODG00000051149.1)". The record is from RNAcentral. Lineage: Eukaryota; Metazoa; Chordata; Mammalia; Didelphimorphia; Didelphidae.
CACUUCCCAAUUGAAGGGACUUUCUGAAGAAAAACCUGAGCAGACUUUACCUCAGCUCCUGUUGCCCAUGGGUUGCUUCCACGGCAUCAUGGAGAGACUGUGCAGAUGCAUGAGACCUUUCCCUCUAGUCCCAUUCCUUUCAGCUCAAGCAUGUAAUAAUUCUUGGUAGAUCAGGAAGAAAGGAAGGAAGAAAGACAAGAAGGGAGGAAGAGAGGGUUGGAGGAAGGAAAGGAAGAAGGAAGGAAAAGAAGGAAGAAGUGAGUGAAGGAAGGGGAAAAGAGGAAGGAAAGAAAGUGAUGGAGGGAGUGAAAGAAACAUGGAAGGAUGGAUAGAUUGAAGAAUCCUG